This 477-nucleotide ribosomal RNA is filed under the name uncultured bacterium. RNAcentral's name for it is "bacterial SSU rRNA". It matches the Rfam family "Bacterial small subunit ribosomal RNA", at positions 30 to 504 of the family's 1533-position model. The record is from RNAcentral.
UGAACGCUAGCGGUAGGCCUAACACAUGCAAGUCGAGGGGUAAGGUUCAGCUUGCUGAACACACGACCGGCGCACGGGUGAGUAACACGUUUGCAACCUACCCUUAACUGGAGAAUAGCUCCCGGAAACGGGAAUUAAUACUCCAUAACAUUCAGACAGGGCAUCCUGUUUGGAUCAAAGCUCCGGCGGUUAAGGAUGGGCAUGCGUGACAUUAGCUUGUUGGUGAGGUAAUAGCUCACCAAGGCUACGAUGUCUAGGGGGUCUGAGAGGAUGGUCCCCCACACUGGUACUGAGACACGGACCAGACUCCUACGGGAGGCAGCAGUGAGGAAUAUUGGGCAAUGGACGCAAGUCUGACCCAGCCAUACCGCGUGAAGGAUGACGGCCCUAUGGGUUGUAAACUUCUUUUAUACAGGAAGAAACCUACGAUCGUGAUCGUAGUUGACGGUACUGUACGAAUAAGCAUCGGCUAACUCC